CGACCGGCGCACGGGUGCGUAACGCGUAUAGAACCUACCUUAUAUUGGGGGAUAGCCCAGAGAAAUUUGGAUUAAUACCCCAUAGUAUUGAAUUAUGGCAUCGUAAUUUGAUUAAAGAUUUAUCGAUAUAAGAUGGCUAUGCGUUCUAUUAGCUAGUUGGUAUGGUAACGGCAUACCAAGGCGACGAUAGAUAGGGGUCCUGAGAGGGAGAUCCCCCACACUGGUACUGAGACACGGACCAGACUCCUACGGGAGGCAGCAGUGAGGAAUAUUGGUCAAUGGAGGCAACUCUGAACCAGCCAUGCCGCGUGCAGGAAGACUGCCCUAUGGGUUGUAAACUGCUUUUGUAUAGGAAGAAACCGCCCUACGAGUAGGGUUCUGACGGUACUAUACGAAUAAGGAUCGGCUAACUCCGUGCCAGCAGCCGCGGUAAUACGGAGGAUCCAAGCGUUAUCCGGAAUCAUUGGGUUUAAAGGGUCCGUAGGCGGGCUGAUAAGUCAGGGGUGAAAGUUUGCGGCUCAACCGUAAAAUUGCCUUUGAUACUGUUUGCCUUGAAUUAUUGUGAAGUGGUUAGAAUGUGUAGUGUAGCGGUGAAAUGCAUAGAUAUUACACAGAAUACCGAUUGCGAAGGCAGAUCACUAACAAUUGAUUGACGCUAAGGGACGAAAGCGUGGGCAGCGAACAGGAUUAGAUACCCUGGUAGUCCACGCCGUAAACGAUGGUCACUAGCUGUUCGGCAUUUAUGUUGAGUGGCUAAGCGAAAGUGAUAAGUGACCCACCUGGGGAGUACGUUCGCAAGAAUGAAACUCAAAGGAAUUGACGGGGGCCCGCACAAGCGGUGGAGCAUGUGGUUUAAUUCGAUGAUACGCGAGGAACCUUACCAGGGCUUAAAUGCAGUCUGACAGCUGUAGAGAU
Molecule: ribosomal RNA, 915 nt
Filed under: uncultured bacterium
Lineage: Bacteria
Description: bacterial SSU rRNA
Rfam family: Bacterial small subunit ribosomal RNA
Source: RNAcentral